GAAAUAUUUGCAGUCUGUUCUUAAGCUUGGAACGAUACAGAGAAGAUUAGCAUGGCCCCGGUCCAAGGAUGACACGCAAAAUCCUAAAGCUUUUCAAAUUUUU
Small nuclear RNA from Scaptodrosophila lebanonensis, 103 nucleotides. The record is from RefSeq and is a predicted model, not a curated record. NCBI's taxonomy places the organism in Eukaryota, Metazoa, Arthropoda, Insecta, Diptera, Drosophilidae.